Molecule: ribosomal RNA, 336 nt
Filed under: uncultured bacterium
Lineage: Bacteria
Description: bacterial SSU rRNA
Rfam family: Bacterial small subunit ribosomal RNA
Source: RNAcentral
CAUCAUUUGACGUUAGCAACAGAAGAAGCACCGGCUAACUCCGUGCCAGCAGCCGCGGUAAUACGGAGGGUGCGAGCGUUAAUCGGAAUUACUGGGCGUAAAGACGCAUGCAGGUGGUUUGUUAAGUACAGAUGUGAAAGACCCGGGGCCGUCAACCUCGGAACUGCAUUUGAAACUAGGCAGACUAGAGUACUGUAGAGGGGGUAGAAUUUCAGGUGUAGCGGUGAAAUGCGUAGAGAUCUGAAGGAAUACCAGUGGCGAAGGCGGCCCCCUGGACAAAGACUGACGCUCAGAUGCGAAAGCGUGGGGAGCAAACAGGAUUAGAUACCCUGGUAG